UACGGAGGGCGCGAGCGUUAAUCGGAAUUACUGGGCGUAAAGCGCGCGUAGGCUGUUGUGUAAGUUGGGGGUGAAAUCCCACGGCUCAACCGUGGAACAGCCCUUGAUACUGCGCGACUUGAAUCCGGGAGAGGGUGGCGGAAUUCCAGGUGUAGGAGUGAAAUCCGUAGGUAUCUGGAGGAACAUCAGUGGCGAAGGCGGCCACCUGGACCGGUAUUGACGCUGAGGCGCGAAAGCGUGGGGAGCAAACAGG
Molecule: ribosomal RNA, 253 nt
Filed under: uncultured bacterium
Lineage: Bacteria
Description: partial 16S ribosomal RNA
Rfam family: Bacterial small subunit ribosomal RNA
Source: RNAcentral